Molecule: non-coding RNA, 184 nt
Filed under: bacterium LRH843
Lineage: Bacteria
Description: 6S RNA
Rfam family: 6S / SsrS RNA
About the family: E. coli 6S RNA was the first non coding RNA to be sequenced, but its function was unknown until recently. It consists of 184 nucleotides that fold into an extended hairpin structure with a large single-stranded internal bulge.
Source: RNAcentral
AACGGCCUGCCGUGUUAGUCAGCUUCUACUUGUUUCGAACCUUGAGUUUUUAACGGGAGUUCUACAUUGAGUGUUUGCCAGCAUGCCAACAACUUGUUUUGGACGCUGAAUAAGACUUUGCGGACACCCACCUACGUAAAGUAGGUUCAGAAACAAUUGGAGCAACGGCAUACGCGGGUUACAC